CUACGUGCCAGCAGCCGCGGUAAUACGGAAGGUCCGGGCGUUAUCCGGAUUUAUUGGGUUUAAAGGGAGCGUAGGCUGGAGAUUAAGUGUGUUGUGAAAUGUAGACGCUCAACGUCUGACUUGCAGCGCAUACUGGUUUCCUUGAGUACGCACAACGUUGGCGGAAUUCGUCGUGUAGCGGUGAAAUGCUUAGAUAUGACGAAGGACUCCGAUUGCGAAGGCAGCUGACGGGAGCGCAACUGACGCUGAAGCUCGAAGGUGCGGGUAUCGAACAGGAUUAGAUACCCUGGUAGUCCGCACAGUAAACGAUGGAUGCCCGCUGUUGGUACUUGGUAUCAGCGGCUAAGCGAAAGCAUUAAGCAUCCCACCUGGGGAGUACGCCGGCAACGGUGAAACUCAAAGGAAUUGACGGGGGCCCGCACAAGCGGAGGAACAUGUGGUUUAAUUCGAUGAUACGCGAGGAACCUUACCCGGGCUKAA
This 480-nucleotide ribosomal RNA is filed under the name uncultured bacterium. Its description in RNAcentral is "bacterial SSU rRNA". It matches the Rfam family "Bacterial small subunit ribosomal RNA", at positions 501 to 984 of the family's 1533-position model. The record is from RNAcentral.